UACAGAAAAUUUUGAAAAGCCAAGAGAAAUAGUGUUGCAAUUCUCCUUGGGAUGAGACAUAUGAAGACUAGAACCUACCAGUGGGAUGGCAUUAGUACUGCAGCUGAACUCAUUUCUCUAGCUGCUGGGUAUGUUAGCUGCAGAUGGCUCACAGCUAUCUACUCCUUCAGACAUUUCCCUCAGCAGAAGCAGCUACACCUGAAGUUGCAUCUACUCCCUACAGAAACCCCACAUCCAAUGACUGAGAAAAAAGAGAAAGAGUGAUGGCAAAUGAAGGUGAAGCAGCUGAAGGCUGGCUGAGCAGAGGCUGUGAUACUGAAACCUGGUGAACUUUGUCUUGUCCCUCAUCCUGUAAACCUGCUUUGAGGGCACGUGCUGCUUCACAUCUUAAGAAGCUGCCUGAGAUCUGAGAUCUGCUUGCAUAGUAUAAAUAUAACUUGCAUUAUCCCUCAUUUCUUU
This is a long non-coding RNA of Phyllostomus hastatus (greater spear-nosed bat), 459 nucleotides long. RefSeq lists it as uncharacterized. Lineage: Eukaryota; Metazoa; Chordata; Mammalia; Chiroptera; Phyllostomidae. The record is from RefSeq and is a predicted model, not a curated record. The transcript is spliced from 3 exons.